CACGUAGUUAGCCGGUGCUUAUUCUUCAGGUACCGUCAUUAGCCGGAGAUAUUAGCCCCAGCCGUUUCUUCCCUGACAAAGAGCUUUACAACCCGAAGGCCUUCCUCACUCACGCGGCAUUGCUGGAUCAGGCUUGCGCCCAUUGUCCAAAAUUCCCCACUGCUGCCUCCCGUAGGAGUCUGGGCCGUGUCUCAGUCCCAGUGUGGCUGGUCGUCCUCUCAGACCAGCUACUGAUCGUCGCCUUGGUGAGCCUUUACCUCACCAACUAGCUAAUCAGACAUCGGCCGCUCCAAAAGCAUGAGGUCUUGCGAUCCCCCACUUUCUUCCGUAGAACGUAUGCGGUAUUAGCGUAACUUUCGCUACGUUAUCCCCCACUUCUGGGUACGUUCCGAUGUAUUACUCACCCGUUCGCCACUCGCCGCCAGGUUGCCCCGCGCUGCCGUUCGACUUGCAUGUGUAAAGCAUGCCGCCAGCGUUCAAUCUGAGCCAGGAUCAAACU
RNAcentral lists this ribosomal RNA (499 nucleotides) under uncultured Oxalobacteraceae bacterium. Its description in RNAcentral is "partial 16S ribosomal RNA". The record is from RNAcentral. Lineage: Bacteria; Pseudomonadati; Pseudomonadota; Betaproteobacteria; Burkholderiales; Oxalobacteraceae.